GGUCCCCAUUAAGGCAGUGUCUCGAAAAGACUAGGCCAAGGUGGGGGAAGGCUCAUCUCAGGGUGUGGCCACGCCUUCUACUUAUGGUGCCGGGCGUCGGUCUGUCAGAGUGCGUCACAUUGCGGUGCCACUCGCGGCCGAAGGUCUGGGGACGA
RNAcentral lists this non-coding RNA (155 nucleotides) under unclassified sequences. RNAcentral's name for it is "cold-seep-1 RNA". It matches the Rfam family "cold-seep-1 RNA". Rfam says of the family: Environmental, Norwegian cold seep. Environment (Cold seep) The record is from Rfam by way of RNAcentral.